Oncorhynchus tshawytscha (Chinook salmon) is the source of this 1142-nucleotide long non-coding RNA. NCBI's taxonomy places the organism in Eukaryota, Metazoa, Chordata, Actinopteri, Salmoniformes, Salmonidae. The record is from Ensembl.
GGAACAAUGGUUUCCGUCAGCCACAAUGGUGGUCAUGACGAUAGACGGAAUAUGGAAAUGUAUGUCAUUUUUGUUUUGUUAUUAAAAGUUAAUAGAUGACGUUAUUACGAAAACAUUGUAACUGUAAGAGCUUUCCUAGGAUAUGUUUGAUGUUUAUAUAUUGUACGUUGUGUGGAAAAUGUCCAAAUCAAUCAGGACUCCUGGACAUGGGAGGAGAUUCUGAACGGUAAGGGACCCUGGGCACAGGCUGGAGAAUAUCGCCGCCCCAAGGCUGAGCUGGAGGCAGCGUAAUCCGAGAGGCGGUGGUAUGAGGAGGCAGCCCCAAAAAUGACGUGGCGAAGUCAGGUAGGAGACCUGCGCCAACUCCCCGUGCUUACCGUGGAGAGAGGCACCGUGUUAUGCCGUGAGGCGCACAGUCAUAGCCCGGUGCGGUACAUAGCAGAGCCUCGUAUCGGCCGGGCUAGAGUGGGCAUCGAGCCAGGUGCCAUGAAGCCGACUCAGUCUCCUCGGGCCGGGGACAUGGCACCAGCCUUACGCAUGGUGUCCCCGGUUCGCCAGCACAGCCCAGUGCGGACUAUUCCACCUCGCCACACUGGCCUGGCUACGGGGAGCAUUCAGCCAGGUAGGGUUGGGCAGGCUCGGUGCUCGAGACCUGCAGUGCGCUUCCACGGUCCGGUCUAUCCGGUGCCGCCUCCAUGCACCAGCCCUCCGGUGGCAGCCCCCCGCACCAGGCUGUCUCUCCGUCUCCUCCCUAUAGGUGCUCCCGCCUGUCCAGUGCUGCCAGUGUCUUCCUCAUGCCCAGCGCUGCCAGAGUCUCCCGUCUGUCCUGAGCUGCCAGAGUCUCCACUCUGGCAGCUCCUGACUGACAGGAGGGAGACUCUGGCAGCUCCUGACUGACAGGAGGGAGACUCUGGCAGCUCCUGACUGACAGGAGGGAGACUAUGGUCAGGGCGUGAGUUGGUCAGGGCGUGAGUAUGGUCAGGGCGUGAGUUGGUCAGGGUGUGAGUAUGGUCAGGGCGUGAGUUGGGUGGGUUGUCUAUGUUCGUUUUUCUAUGUUGUGUUUUGAGUUUGGCCUGGUAUGGUUCUCAAUCAGAGGCAGGUGUCGUUAGUUGUCUCUGAUUGAGAAUCAUACUUAGGUAGCC